UACGUAGGGACCAAGCGUUGUCCGGAAUCAUUGGGCGUAAAGAGCUCGUAGGCGGUUCGUCGCGUCGGCUGUGAAAUCCCGAGGCUCAACCUCGGGUCUGCAGUCGAUACGGGCGGACUGGAGUUCGGCAGGGGAGACUGGAAUUCCUGGUGUAGCGGUGAAAUGCGCAGAUAUCAGGAGGAACACCGGUGGCGAAGGCGGGUCUCUGGGCCGAUACUGACGCUGAGGAGCGAAAGCGUGGGGAGCGAACAGG
RNAcentral lists this ribosomal RNA (253 nucleotides) under uncultured bacterium. RNAcentral's name for it is "partial 16S ribosomal RNA". It matches the Rfam family "Bacterial small subunit ribosomal RNA", at positions 524 to 776 of the family's 1533-position model. The record is from RNAcentral.